UCUUUUAGUCUUCAAGAUAUCGUAGCGCGAUAAAGACGCAUAGAAAGCAUAUCGGAAGAAAAAUAUAUAAUUUAUUGUAAUACAUAAGUGUGGAAUGACGAUAAAUGUUUUCUGAAAGCAAAUAAAUUAUAAAAACCAUAUGAUUUUAUUUGUUUAAAUCAGAAAGAUUUUUCUCUACUUGCUGUAACGUGCUGGUGAAAUUAUUUGCGAAUUUUAAAAUUUUUUAUUGUUGUUGUUGUCGGUUAAAAAAACAGUUGUGAGCAUAAUUAUUGAAAAGAAAAUCAAAUAAAAUAAAUGCGAAACAGCGAGCAAAACAAAAUAGCGGAAUUAAACAAGUGUCAGUUAAAAUAUUAUGCAUCGCAAAUAAAUAAAAAACAUAAAACAAUACAGAAAACUGGUUUGUGGAAAUAUACUAAAUUUAUUUAAGCAUAUAAAGGGAGAUAAAACUACGUGUAUAGCAGGAAAAUGAUCGUCGAAAGUGAGAAUCAAACGUACACUGAAGUGCCUAUGGAAAAUAAAGACAACGAAGCUAAUGCCAACAAAACCAUAGAUGAAACACAGUUACAGAAGAGUGAUGUGGAGAAAACAGCAAAGCAACAGCUGAAGAAGGAAGGUGAAAAUGCGCCCGAACAUCCGCCAACGAGUUAUGUUACAACGCUUAUACACAUCUUCAAGGGCAACAUUGGACCUGGACUUUUCGCUAUGGGCGAUGCCUUUAAGAAUGGCGGCAUAAUUGUGGGACCCAUACUGCUCGUGGUAAUCGGGGUAAUUUCAGUGCAUUGCCAACAUGUGCUCGUCAAUUGUUCCGAAAAGAUGCGUGCGCUAACUAACGGUGUAGUGUGUGCCGACUACGCCGAUACGGUGGAGCAGUGCUUCGCCAAUGGUCCAGUGAAAUUGCGCACAUGGUCGAAAAUGAUGAAAACCAUUGUGAAUAUUUUCAUUUGUGUCACACAAUUGGGCUUUUGUUGUAUUUACAUCGUGUUCAUCAGCACAAAUAUGAAACAGAUCUUCGAUGCCUACGAAAUCGAUAUUGAUGUACACAUAGUUAUGGUGAUCAUAUUUGUGCCCAUACUGCUAACCUCACUUAUAACGAACCUGAAAUGGUUGAUGCCCGUCUCGCUGAUCGCCUCCAUUUGCAUGGUGGUGGGCUUAGCUAUAACUAUAUUUUACGCACUCAAGGAUGGUGUGCCCAGUGCGGCGGAGCGCAAACUUUACACGGAUGGUCCACAUUUGGCGCUGUUCUUCGGCACCGCGAUCUUCGCAUUUGAGGGCAUAACUUUGGUGUUGCCACUGCGUAAUGCCAUGCGCAAGCCAUCGGACUUUGCGCGCAAAAUGGGUGUCCUAAAUAUGGGCAUGACCUUGGUGACCUUCAUGUUCUUAUUUGCCGGCACUUUGGGUUACCUCAAAUGGGGUGAGGAGGUGGGCGGAAGUUUGACCUUGAACCUGGGCGAUACAAUUUUGGCGCAAUCCGUUAAAGUUAUGGUAUCGGCUGGCGUGAUGCUCGGUUAUCCACUACAAUUCUUCAUUGCCAUACAAAUUAUGCUGCCCAAUGCCAUAGAAAUUAUGCAUUUGCAAAGGCGUCCUUUCACAGGAGAGCUGCUUUUCCGCACGAUUAUGGUGGUGCUGACAUUAUGCAUUGCAGAACUGGUGCCCGCUUUGGGUCUCUUUAUGUCACUCAUCGGUGCGCUGUGCUCCACUGCCUUGGCGCUGGUAUUCCCACCAAUGAUUGAGUUGCUCAUUAAACGCGACGAUAAUAAAGGCCCCGGCGCCUGGUUGUUCACUAAAAAUAUCGGCAUACUCAUACUGGCAUUGCUGGGCUUCUCCACCGGCACCUAUGAGAGUUUAACACAGAUCGUGUUGCAUUUUAAUGAAGCGGAAUAACAUUUAUGGCCAGCCGUGAGAAAGUGUUACUCGAAUAGGUAAUGUUGAUUUAAAACGAAAAUUGGUACUACAUUACGGAAUGGAUCUGAAUUUUUCUGUACUUAGCAACAUAAAUCAAAAUUAUUUCGAGAAUAUUUUAAAUAUAUCCCUACCGCUUCAGACAUCGCUCAUAUGUACUUAUUUGAUAAGGAAACAAUGUGGAAAUGUUUUCGAAAAAAGAACCUUAAGUUUCUAAGAACAAAUGAAGCAUGGAUAAGAUUUAACGACGUCGGAUAGAACUUUCAAUAAAAAAGUUAAAAGUAAAUCUUCCGGAAACUAUACACUCUUUCGCGAGCUUAACUCUAUUUAUCCGUUAUACAUUUCAAGAGCUGUCACAGGUGUCAAAGUAAACUAGUGAAAUUCCAGACAAGUGUACAAAAAAAAAUCGCAAUAACAAGAUAAACACGUGAACACAAGAAUUCCACCGUCAA
This is an RNA transcript of Zeugodacus cucurbitae (melon fly), 2351 nucleotides long. It is a transcript of the gene named neutral amino acid uniporter 4, with no coding region annotated. The transcript has 8 exons. The record is from RefSeq and is a predicted model, not a curated record. Lineage: Eukaryota; Metazoa; Arthropoda; Insecta; Diptera; Tephritidae.